AUUCAAAUAGUUUAAGAAAAAUUCUAGUUUGUGGAGCUAGAGAUAUAGAUAUUUAUUUUGAAUA
Molecule: transfer RNA, 64 nt
Filed under: Pseudoplites inexpectatus
Lineage: Eukaryota; Metazoa; Arthropoda; Insecta; Coleoptera; Cerambycidae
Description: tRNA-His
Rfam family: tRNA
About the family: Transfer RNA (tRNA) molecules are approximately 80 nucleotides in length. Their secondary structure includes four short double-helical elements and three loops (D, anti-codon, and T loops).
Source: RNAcentral